UAAUACGGAGGGUCCGAGCGUUAUCCGGAAUCAUUGGGUUUAAAGGGUCCGUAGGCGGGUUAAUAAGUCAGAGGUGAAAUCCCAUAGCUCAACUAUGGAACUGCCUUUGAUACUGUUAGCCUUGAGUCAUUUGGAAGUAGAUAGAAUGUGUAGUGUAGCGGUGGAAUGCAUAGAUAUUACACAGAAUACCGAUUGCGAAGGCAGUCUACUACGAAUGUACUGACGCUGAUGGACGAAAGCGUGGGUAGCGAACAGGAUUAGAUACCCUGGUAGUCCACGCCGUAAACGAUGGACACUAGUUGUUGGGAUUUAUCUCAGUGACUAAGCGAAAGUGAUAAGUGUCCCACCUGGGGAGUACGGUCGCAAGAUUG
Molecule: ribosomal RNA, 371 nt
Filed under: uncultured Bacteroidota bacterium
Lineage: Bacteria; Pseudomonadati; Bacteroidota
Description: bacterial SSU rRNA
Rfam family: Bacterial small subunit ribosomal RNA
Source: RNAcentral